CCUGAAAAAGUGUAAUUGCUUAAUUGUUUAUGGUAAACAUCAAAAACAUAAUUGGUUUUCUGAAUUGUAAACCAUUCUCCUCUCUCAUGUAUGUAAUAGCAUACCCUUAGUUGCUGCAUAUACAGAUAACAUAGGCAAAGCAACUACGCCAGCAAUAGAGGAUAUAAAAACGAUACUUCCAUUUCCUGAUGCUUUCAAGAGUGGAUGUGCUAGUUGACAAAGAUGAUAAGGAGAUUCCAGGUUUGUACUCAUUAUGCUUGAAUAGUCUUCCAUACUAUAAUCUACACAAUCUUUUAGUGUAACUAUUCCAGCAUUAUUCACAAGGAUAUUGAGCUUCCCACCAAAAAUAGUGGAGAUUGUUUCAAUUAGCUUCUCUCUUUGAGCUCUAGAAGUGAGGUCACAAACUGAGAAGCUAACGUCGAACCCUUUACUCUUCCAUUCUUCUACCCUCUCGUUGAGCUCUUUCUCAUUGCGGGAACAAAUAUGCACUCUUGCUCCAAAUCCAACUAGUUCUUCCACUAUGGCAUAUCUAAUGAGAUAUAAAUAUAAUCAACUCAAAAUAACCAAAUUAAAGUGGAAGAAAAAACAACAUAUAGAGGAAAAGAAAAUAAGUAACCCAAUGCCCCUGCUUCCUCCAGUGACAAGUGCAGUCUUCCCCUUGAGAGACCACCUUUGAUCUCUGCAACCAAGAUCUUUUUCUGCCAUGGUUGUUGCCAUCUUGCAGCAAGUGGAAGCCUACAGCUAGUAGUAUUAAUAGUCCUUGUGAAUUCCAUGAAUAAAUAUAGUGGAGAAUGACUAAACAAAUAAAACAUGUACUAAGAAACAAGUAUAUCAAAAUUCAAGGGGAGCAUCUACAGCAGAAUCUUGGCCGAGACAUGGCAGACCGCCUGCUUCUAG
RNAcentral lists this unclassified non-coding RNA (897 nucleotides) under Hevea brasiliensis (rubber tree). Lineage: Eukaryota; Viridiplantae; Streptophyta; Magnoliopsida; Malpighiales; Euphorbiaceae. The record is from RNAcentral.